UUGCUAAGGAGUAGGAUUUCCUAGCGAGUAUACUUCCAUAAAGAAAAUGUUGGUUAUGUUUUGUACUUUGUUAAAUAUUCUCUGGUUUGUCUAUUCUUCUAAAUCCCUGAUGACCAGGUUUGCAUUCGCGAACAAGACAAUGAAAUGUCAAGAAAGUUAAUGGGCUUGCUUAGGAAGUACCAUCAAAGUGAUCAAUCAUAUUAUCAAAUUAUGUCACCUUGUGAGGCAAGGUGAACAACCCAGAGAAGGGCGUUUUUAUCUGCCUUUUUCAAUUGGCAAUCAUCACAGAGUCAGGUGUUUCGUCCAGUUAUGGUCCUUGAUCCUUCGCUGAAAAAGAAGUGAAAGUGGGAGUCAAUGAUGCACUCGGGAUCAAAGCCGUGAGGUUCUGCGUCUGUCUGGAUGGAAGGAAUAUUAGGUAGACGCUAUACACUUGCUUUGAUGCCUGGAGAACAAACAAGAGUCAAGAAGGGAAAGGGGGGCAAAAGAAAAGUAAAAUGACCAUCUUUGCCUUUCAUAAUUCUGUGUUUAAAAAUGUUGAGUUAUAUCUUCUUUUUUU
Long non-coding RNA from Ipomoea nil (Japanese morning glory), 556 nucleotides. RefSeq lists it as uncharacterized. The record is from RefSeq and is a predicted model, not a curated record. The transcript has 2 exons. NCBI's taxonomy places the organism in Eukaryota, Viridiplantae, Streptophyta, Magnoliopsida, Solanales, Convolvulaceae.